GUCUCGAUAGCUCAGUGGUGUAAGACCCCAGAAAUCCCAACUUCGGCUUCCAUCAACUCUAAUUCAGCAACAGAGAGCGGAAGAUUGCAGUACCGCAACAUAUCUUCAGGUCAGGUGUUCGAACCACCUUCGGGACU
This is a non-coding RNA of Leptodontidium sp. MPI-SDFR-AT-0119, 137 nucleotides long. NCBI's taxonomy places the organism in Eukaryota, Fungi, Ascomycota, Leotiomycetes, Helotiales, Leptodontidiaceae. The record is from the annotation of a GenBank genome assembly.